This 452-nucleotide ribosomal RNA is filed under the name uncultured organism. RNAcentral's name for it is "partial 16S ribosomal RNA". It matches the Rfam family "Bacterial small subunit ribosomal RNA", at positions 332 to 798 of the family's 1533-position model. The record is from RNAcentral.
UACACUCCUACGGGAGGCAGCAGUGGGGAAUUUUACGCAAUGGGGGAAACCCUGACGUAGCGACACCGCGUGAGCGAAGAAGCCCUUUGGGGUGUAAAGCUCUGUCAGCUGGAACGAAAACAAUGACGGUACCAGCAGAGGAAGCAUCGGCUAACUACGUGCCAGCAGCCGCGGUAAGACGUAGGAUGCGAGCGUUGUCCGGAUUUAUUGGGCGUAAAGAGUUCGUAGGUGGUUUGUUAAGUUUGGUGUUAAAGAUCGGGGCUCAACCCUGGGACUGCACUGAAUACUGGCAGACUCGAGUGUGGUAGAGGCUAGUGGAAUUCCCAGUGUAGCGGUGAAAUGCGUAGAUAUUGGGAAGAACACCGGUGGCGUAGGCGACUAGCUGGGCCAUAACUGACGCUGAGGAACGAAAGCCAGGGGAGCGAAUGGGAUUAGAUACCCUUGUAGUCCCA